GAAAUGCGAUAAGUAAUGUGAAUUGCAGAAUUCCGUGAAUCAUCGAAUCUUUGAACGCACAUUGCGCCCUCUGGCAUUCCGGGGGGCAUGCCUGUCCGAGCGUCAUUACGCACCCUCAAGCCCGGCUUGUGUGAUGGGCCCCGGCGUCUCGUUCGCGAGACGUGCCCGAAAGGCAGCGGCGGCGUCGACCCGAUGAGCCCGAGCGUAUGGGGACUUCUGUCACACGUUCGCGGUGCGGACCGGCGCCUGCUUGACUUUUCUGAUUAUCCAGGUUGACCUCGGAUCAGGUAGGGAUACCCGCUGAACUUAAGC
This 312-nucleotide unclassified non-coding RNA is filed under the name plant metagenome. RNAcentral describes it as "partial contains 5.8S ribosomal RNA, internal transcribed spacer 2, and large subunit ribosomal RNA". The stretch from base 1 to 105 matches the Rfam family "5.8S ribosomal RNA", at positions 50 to 154 of the family's 154-position model. The record is from RNAcentral.